This is a non-coding RNA of Gammaproteobacteria bacterium 39-13, 359 nucleotides long. The record is from Rfam. NCBI's taxonomy places the organism in Bacteria, Pseudomonadati, Pseudomonadota, Gammaproteobacteria.
GGGGACGACCUGGCUUCGACGCAGUUCACGAACCCAAAGAUGCAUGCCGAGUACACAGUUUAAUCUCGUAAAACUUCAACUGUUACUUUAUAGUUGCAAACGAUGAACUAUACGCGGUAGCUGCCUAAAAAACAGCUUAAGCCCUUCUACCUAUUGUGCUUGGACGGUAGAAUAGAAGGUCGACUAAACAAGAUCGCUGCUCACGCCGCCCUAGCACGAGCAGUUAAAAACAACUGGGCUCGCUCUUCAUAACCGCUCUGAUCCGGGUGUGUAGAGUUAAAUAAAAGAUCACCGAUAAGCAUGUAGACCCUUUGACGUAGGUCUUGCGGACGCGGGUUCAAUUCCCGCCGUCUCCACCA